Molecule: long non-coding RNA, 509 nt
Filed under: Ananas comosus (pineapple)
Lineage: Eukaryota; Viridiplantae; Streptophyta; Magnoliopsida; Poales; Bromeliaceae
Description: long non-coding RNA (ACOM_LNC037632)
Source: RNAcentral
CUCGUGUGACCACUUUCGGAGUGCACUGUUGGGUGAAGCGACCACCCCAAUUUCAAAACAGACUUUGUGAGUAUGAUCCAAUCCUCGCCAACUGAGAAUACCCUAUCAACUAGGGUUAACAAUCACUAGGAAACUCAACUAUCCCUAUAUUCCAAUACCAUAGUGUUCUACUACACUAUAUUCCAAUGCCACUCGUUUACAUUAUUAUAUUGUAAGGGCCUGUUUGGCCUUGCUUCUGAAAAAGUGAUUUCUGAAAAAGUGAUUUUGGUUUGGAAAAGUGAUUUUGGUUAAAAACUGUAGAGCAUUUGGAGGAGUUUAGACAAAAGUGACUUUUCUGAAGUGAUUUUGAAAAGCUGUUUGAAAUUUUUUUUUUGAUAUUUGGAUAAAUUAAUAUUUUUAUUAAAUUUUAUUUUAAAAUAAUUAAAAAUCUAAAAUUAAAUUUGAAUUAAAAUUAAAAUUUUUAAAUUACAAAAUUGUACAAAAUUUAAAAUUUGAUAUUUUAAUUUAAA